UUUAAUUGAAGAGUUUGAUCAUGGCUCAGAUUGAACGCUGGCGGCAGGCCUAACACAUGCAAGUCGAGCGGCAGCACAGAGAAACUUGUUUCUCGGGUGGCGAGCGGCGGACGGGUGAGUAAUGCCUGGGAAAUUGCCCUGAUGUGGGGGAUAACCAUUGGAAACGAUGGCUAAUACCGCAUGAUAGCUUCGGCUCAAAGAGGGGGACCUUCGGGCC
RNAcentral lists this ribosomal RNA (217 nucleotides) under Vibrio sp. 03_296. RNAcentral describes it as "partial 16S ribosomal RNA". It matches the Rfam family "Bacterial small subunit ribosomal RNA", at positions 1 to 215 of the family's 1533-position model. Lineage: Bacteria; Pseudomonadati; Pseudomonadota; Gammaproteobacteria; Vibrionales; Vibrionaceae. The record is from RNAcentral.